UCUCAGUGACGAACAAGAAUCGAUGACGAGUCCGAUAAUUUUCCAUUCUUCUCAUAUCGUGACGACAAAUCGAGGCAUUUGUCCGAGAGAA
Eucalyptus grandis is the source of this 91-nucleotide non-coding RNA. The record is from Rfam. Lineage: Eukaryota; Viridiplantae; Streptophyta; Magnoliopsida; Myrtales; Myrtaceae.